This 460-nucleotide ribosomal RNA is filed under the name uncultured bacterium. Its description in RNAcentral is "partial 16S ribosomal RNA". It matches the Rfam family "Bacterial small subunit ribosomal RNA", at positions 338 to 795 of the family's 1533-position model. The record is from RNAcentral.
CCUACGGGAGACAGCAGUGAGGAAUAUUGGUCAAUGGGCUUACGCCUGAACCAGCCAAGUCGCGUGAGGGAAGACUGCCCUAUGGGUUGUAAACCUCUUUUGUCAGGGAGCAAUUGGCGCUACGUGUAUCGUUAUCGCGAGUACCUGAAGAACCAGCAUCGGCUAACUCCGUGCCAGCCGCCGCGGUAAUACGGAGGAUGCGAGCGUUAUCCGGCUUGAUGGGGUUUAACGGGUGCGUAGGCGGAAUGCCAAGUCAGCGGUAAAAUCGCGGGGCUCAACCUCGCUCCGCCGUUGAAACUGGCGUUCUUGAGUGGGCGAGAAGUAUGCGGAAUGCGUGGUGUAGCGGUGAAAUGCAUAGAUAUCACGCAGAACUCCGAUUGCGAAGGCAGCAUACCGGCGCCCAACUGACGCUGAAGCACGAAAGCGUGGGUAGCGAACAGGAUUAGAGACCCUGGUAGUC